Molecule: unclassified non-coding RNA, 206 nt
Filed under: uncultured fungus
Lineage: Eukaryota; Fungi
Description: sequence contains ITS2
Source: RNAcentral
AAUUCUCAACCUAUCAGCUUUUCACAAAGUUGGUAAGGCUUGGAUGUGGAGGUUUUGCCGGCUUUCUAAAAGUCAGCUCCUCUGAAAUGCAUUAGCGGUACCCGUGUGGAAUCGUCUAUUGGUGUGAUAAUAUCUACGCCGUGGGCAUCUGCAUUAUAAAUGGGUUAUGCUGCUUAUAACCGUCCUUAUAUGGACAACUUAUGACA